Molecule: ribosomal RNA, 399 nt
Filed under: uncultured bacterium
Lineage: Bacteria
Description: bacterial SSU rRNA
Rfam family: Bacterial small subunit ribosomal RNA
Source: RNAcentral
UAAGGGAUAUUGCGCAAUGGGCGAGAGCCUGACGCAGCAACGCCGCGUGCGGGAUGACGGCCUUCGGGUUGUAAACCGCUUUUCGAGGGGAAGAGGGUGGACGGUACCCUCGGAAGAAGUCUCGGCUAACUACGUGCCAGCAGCCGCGGUAAAACGUAGGAGGCGAGCGUUAUCCGGAUUUACUGGGUGUAAAGCGCGUGCAGGCGGCUUGGGAAGUGGUGCGUGAAAGCGCCCGGCUCAACCGGGCGAGGCCGUGCCAAACUGGCAAGCUGGAGGCAGGUAGAGGCGGGUGGAAUUCCGGGUGUAGUGGUGAAAUGCGUAGAGAUCCGGAGGAACACCGAGUGGCGAAGGCGACCCGCUGGGCCUGGCCUGACGCUCAGACGCGAAAGCAUGGGGAGC